AUUCCGAUAACGAACGAGACUCUAGCCUAUUAAAUAGUUCGACGAUUUUCGAUAUGUCGUCGCAACUUCUUAGAGGGACGAGUGGCUUUUAGCCACACGAGAUUGAGCAAUAACAGGUCUGUGAUGCCCUUAGAUGUCCGGGGCCGCACGCGCGCUACACUGAAGGAAUCAGCGUGGAUACCCCCCUGGUCCGAAAGGAUUGGGAAACCCGUUGAAUCUCCUUCGUGCUAGGGAUUGGGGCUUGUAAUUCUUCCCCAUGAACGAGGAAUUCCCAGUAAGCGCGAGUCAUAAGCUCGCGUUGAUUACGUCCCUGCCCUUUGUACACACCGCCCGUCGCUACUAUCGAUUGAGCGGUUCAGUGAGCACCUCGGAUUGGUCUCGGUCUGACGUGCAAGCGUCGGACUGUUGGCCGAGAAGACGUUCAAACUCGAUCGCUUGGAGAAAGUAAAAGUCGUAACAAGGUUUCCGUAGGU
Molecule: ribosomal RNA, 473 nt
Filed under: Limacina helicina
Lineage: Eukaryota; Metazoa; Mollusca; Gastropoda; Pteropoda; Limacinidae
Description: SSU rRNA
Rfam family: Eukaryotic small subunit ribosomal RNA
Source: RNAcentral